This 539-nucleotide long non-coding RNA is filed under the name Hordeum vulgare. RNAcentral's name for it is "long non-coding RNA (HVUL_LNC003451)". Lineage: Eukaryota; Viridiplantae; Streptophyta; Magnoliopsida; Poales; Poaceae. The record is from RNAcentral.
CCGGCAACCUAGCUCGGAGACGACGGCCGGCGGCCGGCGCGGGCGUGCAGCGUCGUGCGAGCAGCGUGCCAGCGGCAGCGCGUCGCUGUGGCGUGCUGCAGCCGCGCGGCAGGCACAGAUCAGGAGGGACGGCGCGGAAGCUGAAGCUAAGCGUAUACUGAGGUCCGAACAGCACCAGGAUUAAGGUCUGUUCGGACUCUCCAGAGCUUGUGAUUCGUGAACUAUGAACUGAUGACGAUGCAGUUGUCUCAGCGACAGUUCUUCAGAUUUCACCUUAUUCGGUUUUGCUCUGCCACUGGCCGCAGCAAUGUCCUCUUCGUCCUCUUUCCCCGGCUCCCGCUUCCCCUUCGCCGCCGGUGGCGCCGGUGCUGGAGCCUCCGGCGGAGGUGCGGGCGGAGGCGGAGGAGGCGGCAGCGGGAGCAGCGUGCGGCCCUGGGGAUCGAGCGGAGGGACGUCGGUCUCGUCGUCGGGGAAGCGGAUACAGAAGGAGCUGCUGGACCUCAACGCCUCCGACUGCUCCGCCGGUCCCAAGGGNNNNN